GACGAACGCUGGCGGCGUGCUUAACACAUGCAAGUCGAGCGGAAAGGCCCUGCUUUUGUGGGGUGCUCGAGUGGCGAACGGGUGAGUAACACGUGAGUAACCUGCCCUUGACUUUGGGAUAACUUCAGGAAACUGGGGCUAAUACCGGAUAGGAGCUCCUGCUGCAUGGUGGGGGUUGGAAAGUUUCGGCGGUUGGGGAUGGACUCGCGGCUUAUCAGCUUGUUGGUGGGGUAGUGGCUUACCAAGGCUUUGACGGGUAGCCGGCCUGAGAGGGUGACCGGCCACAUUGGGACUGUGAUACGGCCCAGACUCCUACGGGAGGCAGCAGUGGGGAAUAUUGCACAAUGGGCGGAAGCCUGAUGCAGCAACGCCGCGUGCGGGAUGACGGCCUUCGGGUUGUAAACCGCUUUCGCCUGUGACGAAGCGUGAGUGACGGUAAUGGGUAAAGAAGCACCGGCUAACUACGUG
Molecule: ribosomal RNA, 468 nt
Filed under: uncultured bacterium
Lineage: Bacteria
Description: partial 16S ribosomal RNA
Rfam family: Bacterial small subunit ribosomal RNA
Source: RNAcentral